RNAcentral lists this transfer RNA (60 nucleotides) under Craugastor stejnegerianus (Stejneger's rainfrog). Its description in RNAcentral is "tRNA-Cys". Lineage: Eukaryota; Metazoa; Chordata; Amphibia; Anura; Craugastoridae. The record is from RNAcentral.
AGCCCUGGGGUGUCACACAUGGAGUUGCAACCUCCAAGAAGCAGAGAUUCUGCCGGGGCU